UACGAAGGGGACUAGCGUUGUUCGGAUUUACUGGGCGUAAAGCGCGCGUAGGCGGAUCGCUAAGUCAGGGGUGAAAUCCCAGGGCUCAACCCUGGAACUGCCUUUGAUACUGACGGUCUGGAGAUCGGGAGAGGUUGGUGGAAUUCCGAGUGUAGAGGUGAAAUUCGUAGAUAUUCGGAAGAACACCAGUGGCGAAGGCGGCUCACUGGACCGGUAUUGACGCUGAGGUGCGAAAGCGUGGGGAGCAAACAGG
This 253-nucleotide ribosomal RNA is filed under the name uncultured bacterium. RNAcentral's name for it is "partial 16S ribosomal RNA". It matches the Rfam family "Bacterial small subunit ribosomal RNA", at positions 524 to 776 of the family's 1533-position model. The record is from RNAcentral.